UCUCGCGACAACUAUGACGUACUCUGGAGUUCUUCCCUGGCAUAUUGCACACGAACAAACAACAUAUAUAAGAAAACAAAGGAAUGGAUUGCUCCCUUUGCAAAAGGGAGAAUAAAAAGAACCAGAUGUAUACUGGAAGAAUAAUUUUAUUGAAAAUAAUUUCUUCUUGUUACAAUUGUUCAACUCCACACGUAUAUAUACAGAAGGAUCUAGAAUAUUUACACAAAUUGAACUGAUUGGCUGAAAAAAAUGCUAUACAACAGAAUCUAACAGAAAAGGGAAAAAAAAUGUUGUGUGACAGAAUGGUCUUCAAUGAGGUUUCUACCCUGCAUCAUCAUGUUUCGUCUGAUGGCUAUCUUCUUGUUGAUCAUCAGCUCGUUGCUGCUUACUAUACAUUAUCUAUCUCCGACAUUUCAACAACAUAUUACGCUGCAGUACACAACAACCACAAACCACUGCAAAAUCUUCAAACGAUUGUAUUUUUCGAAAACAGUAAAAUCGAGGAAAAUGGAUACACAUCAUGCUUACCAAGAAAUUCCGCCGGAGGCGAUAGAUGGUGUUUAAAAGGACAAAUUUCCACCGGCUUCUUACUUCGGUUGAGAUGGAGGAGCGCUGGAUUUCAACCAAAGUUUUCGCCUCUAGGGUUUUCUUGGUUUGGGGAAAAGUGAAAAUGAAAGUUUGCAGUGAGAUUCCGUUGGAGGCGAUGAAAUUCCGGUCGAGGUGGAGGAGUGUUGGACUUCGAACUACGUUUCGCCUCCAAGGGUUUCUCCGGUUUGGGGGGAAAUGAAGAAUUUUUUCUUUAUAAUUGG
This 809-nucleotide long non-coding RNA is filed under the name Olea europaea subsp. europaea. The record is from RNAcentral. Lineage: Eukaryota; Viridiplantae; Streptophyta; Magnoliopsida; Lamiales; Oleaceae.